RNAcentral lists this ribosomal RNA (407 nucleotides) under uncultured bacterium. RNAcentral describes it as "partial 16S ribosomal RNA". It matches the Rfam family "Bacterial small subunit ribosomal RNA", at positions 30 to 526 of the family's 1533-position model. The record is from RNAcentral.
AUUGAACGCUGGCGGCAGGCCUAACACAUGCAAGUCGAGCGGAGCGGCGGACGGGUGAGUAAUACCUAGGAAUCUGCCUGAUAGUGGGGGAUAGCGUUAGGAAACGGACGCUAAUCCCGCAUCCUAUCAGAUGAGCCUAGGUCGGAUUAGCUAGUUGGUGGGGUAAUGGCUCACCAAGGCUCCGAUCCGUAACUGGGCUGAGAGGAUGCUCAGUCACACUGGAACGGAGACACGGUCCAGACUCCGACGGGAGGCAGCAGUGGGUAAUAUUGGAAAAUGGGCGAAAGCCGGAUCCAGCCAUGCCGCGUGUGUGAAGAAGGUCUUCGGAUUGUAAAGCACGUUAAGUUGGGAGGCGUUACCGACAGAAUAAGCACCGGCUAACUCUGUGCCAGCAGCCGCGGUAAUAC